This 1378-nucleotide ribosomal RNA is filed under the name uncultured bacterium. Its description in RNAcentral is "16S ribosomal RNA". It matches the Rfam family "Bacterial small subunit ribosomal RNA". The record is from RNAcentral.
UUCGCCCUUAGAGUUUGAUCCUGGCUCAGGACGAACGCUGGCGGCGCGCCUAACACAUGCAAGUCGAACGAGCGAGAGAGAGCUUGCUUUCUCGAGCGAGUGGCGAACGGGUGAGUAACGCGUGAGGAACCUGCCUCAAAGAGGGGGACAACAGUUGGAAACGACUGCUAAUACCGCAUAAGCCCACGGGUCGGCAUCGACCAGAGGGAAAAGGAGCAAUCCGCUUUGAGAUGGCCUCGCGUCCGAUUAGCUAGUUGGUGAGGUAAUGGCCCACCAAGGCAACGAUCGGUAGCCGGACUGAGAGGUUGAACGGCCACAUUGGGACUGAGACACGGCCCAGACUCCUACGGGAGGCAGCAGUGGGGAAUAUUGCACAAUGGGGGAAACCCUGAUGCAGCGACGCCGCGUGGAGGAAGAAGGUCUUCGGAUUGUAAACUCCUGUUGUUGGGGAAGAUAAUGACGGUACCCAACAAGGAAGUGACGGCUAACUACGUGCCAGCAGCCGCGGUAAAACGUAGGUCACAAGCGUUGUCCGGAAUUACUGGGUGUAAAGGGAGCGCAGGCGGGAAGACAAGUUGGAAGUGAAAUCUAUGGGCUCAACCCAUAAACUGCUUUCAAAACUGUUUUUCUUGAGUAGUGCAGAGGUAGGCGGAAUUCCCGGUGUAGCGGUGGAAUGCGUAGAUAUCGGGAGGAACACCAGUGGCGAAGGCGGCCUACUGGGCACCAACUGACGCUGAGGCUCGAAAGUGUGGGUAGCAAACAGGAUUAGAUACCCUGGUAGUCCACACCGUAAACGAUGAUUACUAGGUGUUGGAGGAUUGACCCCUUCAGUGCCGCAGUUAACACAAUAAGUAAUCCACCUGGGGAGUACGACCGCAAGGUUGAAACUCAAAGGAAUUGACGGGGGCCCGCACAAGCAGUGGAGUAUGUGGUUUAAUUCGACGCAACGCGAAGAACCUUACCAAGUCUUGACAUCCCUUGACAGACAUAGAAAUAUGUAAUCUCUUCGGAGCAAGGAGACAGGUGGUGCAUGGUUGUCGUCAGCUCGUGUCGUGAGAUGUUGGGUUAAGUCCCGCAACGAGCGCAACCCUUAUGGUCAGUUACUACGCAAGAGGACUCUGGCCAGACUGCCGUUGACAAAACGGAGGAAGGUGGGGAUGACGUCAAAUCAUCAUGCCCUUUAUGACUUGGGCUACACACGUGCUACAAUGGCGUAAACAAAGGGAGGCAAAGCUGUGAAGCCGAGCAAAUCUCAAAAAUAACGUCUCAGUUCGGACUGUAGUCUGCAACCCGACUACACGAAGCUGGAAUCGCUAGUAAUCGCAGAUCAGAAUGCUGCGGUGAAUACGUUCCCGGGUCUUGCACACACCGCCCGUCA